CACGCCGUAAACGAUGAAUACUAAGUGUUGGGGUAAAACUCAGUGCUGCAGUUAACGCAAUAAGUAUUCCGCCUGGGGAGUAUGCGCGCAAGCGUAAAACUCAAAGGAAUUGACGGGGGCCCGCACAAGCGGUGGAGUAUGUGGUUUAAUUCGAGGCAACGCGAAGAACCUUACCAGGUCUUGACAUGGAGCUAAAGGCCCUAGAGAUAGGGAGAUAGUUAUAGCUCACACAGGUGG
This 237-nucleotide ribosomal RNA is filed under the name uncultured Anaerorhabdus sp. Its description in RNAcentral is "partial 16S ribosomal RNA". It matches the Rfam family "Bacterial small subunit ribosomal RNA", at positions 796 to 1041 of the family's 1533-position model. The record is from RNAcentral. Lineage: Bacteria; Bacillati; Bacillota; Erysipelotrichia; Erysipelotrichales; Erysipelotrichaceae.